UAUAUGAAGCGGCGUUUCGUUCGGGCAUUUCGUCGAACAUAUUCCGUGCUUUGACGGUUUUGCCAUUUUCUGCAUAUGCUGUGAGUAUGGCAGUCCAAGAGAUGGUAUUCUUGUGGGGCAUGCGAUCGAAUAUGGACUCAGCCUCUUUGAUAUCACGGUUUUUUCCGUGUUUCGUGAUCUGGGUGUUGCAGUAAACGAGAAAUUUGCUGGCUUUGCGGCUUGCAGCGGAGCGGAGAUUGGGGUUUGAUAGAAUCACGGUGGAGACGCAUGAGUAAUGAAACUAAAAAUAUGGAGAGUUUGAGCGGGAAAACUGUAUAUGUACAAUGGUAGUAAACCGUUGUGCUCGCAUAAUUGUUGGUAACAGAUAAAAUCGCCUAAUGUUGGUAACCUGAAUCACUCAAAGGAGACUUCUGGAAGCAUGACGUUCUCGCCGCGAGCAUUGUAGCGGUCGAAGUAGGGGAAGUUUUUCGAUGAAGCUUUGAUACUUUGGGAAAGGCGAUGACUGGAUAGGCAGAACGAGAAAUAUGGGUCGGGCCAAUCUUCAAACAGUCGGUGGGAUGAUCAACGUGCUUAUCGAGCAUUAUACAUUCUCUCAACUGGAUUAUUGCUACUUUACUGAGCCACACUAUGCUCACUUAACUUGGAUUUAUGGGCUUGUUCAAACAUUGCUCUAUGCUGAUUUAUUUUAUUAUUAUUUCCAUAGCUAGAGGAAAACAAAAAGCUUCAAUUGCCAGCUUGAAUUCAUCCUACCUCUUUUUUGGGAACUAAAGAUCUCAUGUAAUGCGCUGCUAUGUCAUUUCUUUGGCUGAAACUAGUACUAAUUCUUUUGGGAUAAUGUUAUGCCCAAGAUCACCUACCGACAACAAGCAUUGACAAUCUAGAGGGAUCAAACUUGACACAUUUGGGUUUGAUCCUGCAUCUCAACAAUCACUCACUUGGAAGAAAAUAUGGAUUAUCAAUUGUUCAAAAUCUAUGUUGUAAGCUCUAACAAAUGUAAUAGACCAUACAAGAUUAUCCCAAACAUGUUAUAUGGCUGCUAUAUAUUCAUUGCCAUUCAGGGUUCAAUGAGCCUUAAAUGAUUGUAGAUUUGUGCUUUCUGUCUGAAUUAUAUUUGAUGACGAUGAAAG
Molecule: long non-coding RNA, 1127 nt
Organism: Alnus glutinosa
Lineage: Eukaryota; Viridiplantae; Streptophyta; Magnoliopsida; Fagales; Betulaceae
Exons: 4
Source: RefSeq, a predicted model, not a curated record